Prunus avium (sweet cherry) is the source of this 638-nucleotide non-coding RNA. The record is from RefSeq and is a predicted model, not a curated record. Lineage: Eukaryota; Viridiplantae; Streptophyta; Magnoliopsida; Rosales; Rosaceae.
GGAGGAGGGGCAGACCACCUCCCCCCGAAGAUGCGGCGCUGAAGGGGGGGGUUUUGUUUCUUUGCUAGGGUUAGAGAGAGAUGCGGCACUUUGAAUAUUCGAAUUGGGAGUUUCUGAGGAAAUUCGAAGUCUUUGGGAAAUGGGUUUUCAUGAUUUUGAUGUUAAUCGAAAACCCAUUAAUUGAUGGGAUUUUGAAUUUGAAUUGAUUGGAUUGGUUCUAAGGGCCUCUCAUUGGGAGAUUUCUUGGCGGAUUUGUGUUGCCUCUGCUGCUGCUAACAGGAAAUUUCUCUACAACAUGAUGGGGAGAGAGUCGCAACCAAAGGGGGUUGUAGAGAAGAGGGACCAAGAAGGAAGGAGAAAAGGGAGAAAAGGGUCGAGAAAAGCGACUUUGUAUUAUCUUAAUUAGAUUACAUUUGUAUUUGGUUGGUCCCUCCCCUUUGGCAGCACAAAAUUAGAAGUAGACAAAGUAUCGUAACGGCUAACGUAACCGUGAUUAGAAAAUAAAAGAGAUACGGUGGCUGACGGCAUCUGGGACUGGGAAUAUGCACGCACAUAAACACAGCACAAACUUCUUGAAUUAUCGUUAACUGUAUUUGAUUAAUGGCAUGUUUACUAGUCAGGAAUUGGAAUUCUCAUCA